RNAcentral lists this non-coding RNA (29 nucleotides) under Mus musculus (house mouse). Lineage: Eukaryota; Metazoa; Chordata; Mammalia; Rodentia; Muridae. The record is from RNAcentral.
UACAGAUGUUUGAGUGAUUACUGUGUGUC